GCUGCAGACCGGGUUAUCGCGUCCCGAUUUUUUCGGGAGGAGGAAAGUCCGGACAGCACAGAGCAUUGUACCGGUGAAGAGCCGGGUGGCGGUUUUCGCCAACAGAAAGUGCCACAGAAAAUAACCGUCUCCUGUAGCAAUACAGGCGAUAAGGGUGAAAACGUGAGGUAAGAGCUCACGGCAGUAGCUGGUAACAGCUAUUGCGGGUAAACCUUACAUGCUGAAAUGCCACGUAUAUCCCCGUUCGGCUCCGGUUGCAAAACCGGCCCGGGGUGAGUGACUCGCUCACUAUUCUACGGAAUGCAGGGAAGGGUAGGCAGAUUGAUCCUGCAGGGUAACCUGCAGGACAGAUAAAUGAUAGCCGCCCGGUGAAAACCGGGAACAGAAUCCGGCUUACAGGUCUGCAGCCACU
Molecule: non-coding RNA, 412 nt
Organism: Sphingobacteriales bacterium 46-32
Lineage: Bacteria; Pseudomonadati; Bacteroidota; Sphingobacteriia; Sphingobacteriales
Source: Rfam